UACGAAGGGGGCUAGCGUUGUUCGGAUUUACUGGGCGUAAAGCGCACGUAGGCGGGUCGUUAAGUCAGGGGUGAAAUCCCGGAGCUCAACUCCGGAACUGCCUUUGAUACUGGCGACCUUGAGGCUGGAAGAGGUUAGUGGAAUUCCCAGUGUAGAGGUGAAAUUCGUAGAUAUUAGGAAGAACACCGGUGGCGAAGGCGGCUCACUGGUCCGAAACUGACGCUGAGGUGCGAAAGCGUGGGGAGCAAACAGG
RNAcentral lists this ribosomal RNA (253 nucleotides) under uncultured bacterium. RNAcentral describes it as "partial 16S ribosomal RNA". It matches the Rfam family "Bacterial small subunit ribosomal RNA", at positions 524 to 776 of the family's 1533-position model. The record is from RNAcentral.